AUGUCUAUGAUGAGUGAACUCAAAUUCUUUCUCAGUUUGCAAAUCAAGCAAACUAAGGAAGGUACCUUUGUCUCUCAAACGAAGUACACCAAUGACUUAUUCAAGAAGUUCAAUAUGCAAGAAUGCAAAGGUAUGACUACACCCAUGCCUACUAGUGGACAUCUUGAUUUGACCAAAGAUGGUGAACCGGUUGGUCAAAAGGUUUAUCGCUCUAUGAUUGGUUCAUUGUUAUAUCUAUGUGCCUCUCAUCCUGAUAUUAUGCUAAGUGUAUGCAUGUGUGCACGAUAUCAAGCUGCUCCUAAAGAGUGUCAUCUUAAGGCUGUGAAAAGGAUGGUGAGAUACCUAAUCCAUACACCAAAUUUUGGCAUUUGGUAUCCUAAGAGGUCCUCUUUUGAUCUUGUUGGCUACUCCAAUUCGGACUAUGCCGGAGACAAGGUUGAUAGAAAAUCCACUUCGGGUACUUGUCAAUUCCUUGGUAGAUCUCUUGUGUCUUGGUCUUCCAAGAAACAAAACUCGGUAUCCUUAUCCACCACCGAAGUGGAAUACAUUGCCGCUGGUUCAUGUUGCGCUCAAUUACUUUGGAUGACCCAAACUCUUAAAGAUUAUGGGAUAUAUGUGAAACAUGUUCCAUUGCUAUGUGACAAUGAAAGUGCUAUUAAGAUUGCUCACAAUCCCGUGCAACAUUCUCGAACUAAGCAUAUUGAAGUUCGUCAUCAUUUCAUUCGAGAUCAUGUUGCAAAAGGGGACAUUAACCUUAAGCAUGUUCGCACCGAUAAGCAAUUGGCAGAUAUAUUCACUAAACCACUUGAUGAGAAAGUGUUUUGCAGGUUGAGAGGUGAAUUGAACAUCAUUGAUGCUUCAAACUUGGAGUAG
This 873-nucleotide ribosomal RNA is filed under the name Triticum aestivum (bread wheat). Its description in RNAcentral is "partial small subunit ribosomal RNA". Lineage: Eukaryota; Viridiplantae; Streptophyta; Magnoliopsida; Poales; Poaceae. The record is from RNAcentral.